RNAcentral lists this ribosomal RNA (277 nucleotides) under Escherichia coli. Its description in RNAcentral is "partial 16S ribosomal RNA". It matches the Rfam family "Bacterial small subunit ribosomal RNA", at positions 1 to 274 of the family's 1533-position model. The record is from RNAcentral. Lineage: Bacteria; Pseudomonadati; Pseudomonadota; Gammaproteobacteria; Enterobacterales; Enterobacteriaceae.
AAAUUGAAGAGUUUGAUCAUGGCUCAGAUUGAACGCUGGCGGCAGGCCUAACACAUGCAAGUCGAACGGUAACAGGAAGAAGCUUGCUUCUUUGCUGACGAGUGGCGGACGGGUGAGUAAUGUCUGGGAAACUGCCUGAUGGAGGGGGAUAACUACUGGAAACGGUAGCUAAUACCGCAUAACGUCGCAAGACCAAAGAGGGGGACUUUCGGGCCUCUUGCCAUCGGAUGUGCCCAGAUGGGAUUAGCUAGUAGGUGGGGUAACGGCUCACCUAGGC